RNAcentral lists this ribosomal RNA (433 nucleotides) under uncultured bacterium. RNAcentral's name for it is "partial 16S ribosomal RNA". It matches the Rfam family "Bacterial small subunit ribosomal RNA", at positions 29 to 507 of the family's 1533-position model. The record is from RNAcentral.
AACGAACGCUGGCGGCAUGCCUAACACAUGCAAGUCGAACGAGACCUUCGGGUCUAGUGGCGCACGGGUGCGUAACGCGUGGGAACCUGCCCUUAGGUUCGGAAUAACUCAGAGAAAUUUGAGCUAAUACCGGAUAAUGUCUUCGGACCAAAGAUUUAUCGCCUUUGGAUGGGCCCGCGUAGGAUUAGCUUGUUGGUGGGGUAAUGGCCUACCAAGGCGACGAUCCUUAGCUGGUCUGAGAGGAUGAUCAGCCACACUGGGACUGAGACACGGCCCAGACUCCUACGGGAGGCAGCAGUGGGGAAUAUUGGACAAUGGGCGAAAGGCUGAUCCAGCAAUGCCGCGUGAGUGAUGAAGGCCUUAGGGUUGUAAAGCUCUUUUACCAGGGAUGAUAAUGACAGUACCUGGAGAAUAAGCGCCGGCUAACUCCGUG